GAGGAAUAUUGCACAAUGGGCGCAAGCCUGAUGCAGCAACGCCGCGUGAGGGACGAAGGCCUUCGGGUCGUAAACCUCUUUUCUGAGGGACGAGAAAGGACGGUACCUCAGGAAUAAGUCUCGGCUAACUACGUGCCAGCAGCCGCGGUAACGCGUAGGAGGCAAACGUUAUCCGGAAUUACUGGGCGUAAAGCGCACGCAGGCGGCAUCGUAAGUCCGACGUGAAAGCUCCCGGCUUAACUGGGAGAGGCCGUUGGAUACUGCGAAGCUCGAGGUUGGGAGAGGAGAGUGGAAUUCCCGGUGUAGUGGUGGAAUGCGUAGAUAUCGGGAGGAACUCCAGUGGCGAAAGCGACUCUCUGGCCUACACCUGACGCUAAAGUGCGAAAGCGUGGGUAGCGAAC
RNAcentral lists this ribosomal RNA (401 nucleotides) under uncultured bacterium. Its description in RNAcentral is "bacterial SSU rRNA". It matches the Rfam family "Bacterial small subunit ribosomal RNA", at positions 356 to 773 of the family's 1533-position model. The record is from RNAcentral.